UCGAGAAUUUUGGGCAAUGGACGAAAGUCUGACCCAGCAAUGCCGCGUGCGGGAUGAAGGUCUUCGGAUUGUAAACCGCUGUUGAGAGGGACGAAAUAUGACGGUACCUCUAGAGGAAGCCACGGCUAACUACGUGCCAGCAGCCGCGGUAAUACGUAGGUGGCGAGCGUUGUUCGGAUUUAUUGGGCGUAAAGGGUCCGCAGGGGGUUGAUUAAGUUUGACGUGAAAUCCCGGAGCUUAAUUCCGGAACUGCGUUGAAGACUGGUUGACUAGAGUGUUGGAGAGGUAAUUGGAAUUCCAGGUGUAGCGGUGGAAUGCGUAGAUAUCUGGAAGAACAUCGAGAGCGAAGGCAGAUUACUGGACAACAACUGACCCUCAGGGACGAAAGCAUGGGGAGCAAACAGGAUUAG
RNAcentral lists this ribosomal RNA (410 nucleotides) under uncultured Victivallis sp. Its description in RNAcentral is "bacterial SSU rRNA". It matches the Rfam family "Bacterial small subunit ribosomal RNA", at positions 355 to 781 of the family's 1533-position model. The record is from RNAcentral. Lineage: Bacteria; Pseudomonadati; Lentisphaerota; Lentisphaeria; Victivallales; Victivallaceae.